Schizosaccharomyces pombe (fission yeast) is the source of this 597-nucleotide non-coding RNA. Lineage: Eukaryota; Fungi; Ascomycota; Schizosaccharomycetes; Schizosaccharomycetales; Schizosaccharomycetaceae. The record is from the annotation of a GenBank genome assembly.
AUAUAGUUAGUUGUUCAUAUCUUUCUUAGGUUUGACUUGAAUAAGCAUCACUUUUUGUGCAAAGAAAUUAGUGGUUUACCGAAUACGAUAAUAUGACUAAAUUUGAAUAGAUCGCCUAGUGUGAAGUGCUAACAUACUCGUUAAUCUAUCAUGUUUGUUUAAAAAAUACCAGUUCAGUUUAGAACAGAGGAAAGCUCUAUUUUUGCUUUUAUUUGAACGUUUAUGGGAUAGUAGUCAGAUUUUUCUGUUGCCGCUACUAAUUACUAUCGUUACACAAUGUACAUCCAAGAAAUAUUAGUACCGUUAUAGUUUUGGAAUUUUAGCCGUAGAUCUGUUUCUACGCUAAUCACCAAGUCCAUUCUUUGUUUGAUGUAUUUGGUGAUAAAACUAGUUAGUUCUUAAAAUAAUCUUUAUUGCCGUUGAGUCGAUACUCGCUUGAGUUCCUCAUCAGGGCUUAUGCAUUGUUUUAUACUUGUAGCAUUGUCUAAACUCUUAUUUACAAUUGGCAACAAACUUAUAUAAACGUUGAGACCUUACCAGUGAAAGAAGUGUGGUUUGAGCGAAAUAUUUUCCGAGCCAAUCUAAAAUUUAAAGUGU